Molecule: ribosomal RNA, 158 nt
Filed under: fungal sp. DA-S-2
Lineage: Eukaryota; Fungi
Also listed under: 19 other names
Description: 5.8S ribosomal RNA
Rfam family: 5.8S ribosomal RNA
About the family: 5.8S ribosomal RNA (5.8S rRNA) is a component of the large subunit of the eukaryotic ribosome. It is transcribed by RNA polymerase I as part of the 45S precursor that also contains 18S and 28S rRNA.
Source: RNAcentral
CAACUUUCAACAACGGAUCUCUUGGUUCUGGCAUCGAUGAAGAACGCAGCGAAAUGCGAUAAGUAGUGUGAAUUGCAGAAUUCAGUGAAUCAUCGAAUCUUUGAACGCACAUUGCGCCCCUUGGUAUUCCAUGGGGCAUGCUUGUUCGAGCGUCAUUU